RNAcentral lists this ribosomal RNA (633 nucleotides) under Clostridioides difficile. RNAcentral describes it as "partial 23S ribosomal RNA". It matches the Rfam family "Bacterial large subunit ribosomal RNA", at positions 1915 to 2546 of the family's 2925-position model. The record is from RNAcentral. Lineage: Bacteria; Bacillati; Bacillota; Clostridia; Peptostreptococcales; Peptostreptococcaceae.
AAGCCCCAGUAAACGGCGGCCGUAACUAUAACGGUCCUAAGGUAGCGAAAUUCCUUGUCGGGUAAGUUCCGACCCGCACGAAAGGCGUAACGAUUUGGGCACUGUCUCAACAACAGACUCGGUGAAAUUGUAAUUCCGGUGAAGAUGCCGGAUACCUGCGACAGGACGGAAAGACCCCAUGGAGCUUUACUGUAGCUUGACAUUGGGUCUUGGUACUACAUGUACAGGAUAGGUGGGAGGCUUUGAAACCAGGACGCCAGUUUUGGCGGAGCCAUCCUUGGGAUACCACCCUUGUAGUACUGGGACUCUAACCAUAGGCCAUGAAUCUGGUCUUGGGACACUGUCAGGUGGGCAGUUUGACUGGGGCGGUCGCCUCCCAAAAGGUAACGGAGGCGCUCAAAGGUUCUCUCAGUACGGUCGGAAAUCGUACGUAGAGUGUAAAGGCAAAAGAGAGCUUGAUUGCAAGACAUACAGGUCGAGCAAGGAUGAAAAUCGGACUUAGUGAUCCGGUGGUUCUGCGUGGAAGGGCCAUCGCUCAACGGAUAAAAGCUACCCUGGGGAUAACAGGCUUAUCUCCCCCAAGAGUCCACAUCGACGGGGAGGUUUGGCACCUCGAUGUCGGCUCAUCACAUC